UACGAAGGGGGCUAGCGUUGUUCGGAAUUACUGGGCGUAAAGCGUGCGCAGGCGGCUUCUCAAGUCAGGGGUGAAAGCCCAGAGCUCAACUCUGGAAUUGCCUUUGAGACUGAGUGGCUUGAGUACGAGAGAGGUGAGUGGAAUUCCCAGUGUAGAGGUGAAAUUCGUAGAUAUUGGGAAGAACACCGGUGGCGAAGGCGGCUCACUGGCUCGUAACUGACGCUGAUGCACGACAGCGUGGGGAUCGAACAGG
Molecule: ribosomal RNA, 253 nt
Filed under: uncultured bacterium
Lineage: Bacteria
Description: partial 16S ribosomal RNA
Rfam family: Bacterial small subunit ribosomal RNA
Source: RNAcentral